AUUGAACGCUGGCGGCAUGCUUUACACAUGCAAGUCGAACGGCAGCACGGGUACUUGCACCUGGUGGCGAGUGGCGAACGGGUGAGUAAUGCAUCGGAACGUGCCCAUGAGUGGGGGAUAGCCCGGCGAAAGCCGGAUUAAUACCGCAUACGCCCUUAGGGGGAAAGCGGGGGAUCUUCGGACCUCGCGCUAUUGGAGCGGCCGAUGUCGGAUUAGCUAGUAGGUGAGGUAAAGGCUCACCUAGGCGACGAUCCGUAGCUGGUCUGAGAGGAUGAUCAGCCACACUGGGACUGAGACACGGCCCAGACUCCUACGGGAGGCAGCAGUGGGGAAUUUUGGACAAUGGGCGCAAGCCUGAUCCAGCCAUGCCGCGUGAGUGAAGAAGGCC
Molecule: ribosomal RNA, 388 nt
Filed under: uncultured bacterium
Lineage: Bacteria
Description: bacterial SSU rRNA
Rfam family: Bacterial small subunit ribosomal RNA
Source: RNAcentral